This 371-nucleotide ribosomal RNA is filed under the name uncultured Aerococcus sp. RNAcentral's name for it is "bacterial SSU rRNA". It matches the Rfam family "Bacterial small subunit ribosomal RNA", at positions 173 to 524 of the family's 1533-position model. Lineage: Bacteria; Bacillati; Bacillota; Bacilli; Lactobacillales; Aerococcaceae. The record is from RNAcentral.
AUAGGAAGUUUAGUUUCGUCAUGAACAAAGCUUAGAAAGAUGGCUCUGCUAUCACUUAUCGAUGGCCUUGCGGUGCAUUAACUAGUUGGCGAGGUAACGGCUCACCAAGGUGAUGAUGCAUAGCCCGACCCCUGAGAGGGUAAUCGGCCACAUUGGGACUGAGACACGGCCCAAACUCCUACGGGAGGCAGCAGUAGGGAAUCUUCCGCAAUGGACGCAAGUCUGACGGAGCAACGCCGCGUGAGUGAAGAAGGUUUUCGGAUCGUAAAACUCUGUUGUAAGAGAAGAACAAAUUGUAGAGUAACUGCUACAGUCUUGACGGUAUCUUACCAGAAAGCCACGGCUAACUACGUGCCAGCAGCCGCGGUAAU